This 254-nucleotide small nuclear RNA is filed under the name Bison bison bison. RNAcentral's name for it is "7SK RNA (ENSBBBG00000022670.1)". It matches the Rfam family "7SK RNA", at positions 54 to 331 of the family's 331-position model. Rfam says of the family: 7SK was discovered as an abundant small nuclear RNA in the mid-70s but a possible function has only recently been suggested. Lineage: Eukaryota; Metazoa; Chordata; Mammalia; Artiodactyla; Bovidae. The record is from RNAcentral.
UGAUUUGGCUGAUCUGGUUGGCUAGGCAGUUGUCCCUUCCCUCCCUCACUGCUCAAUGUGCAUCCCUCCCAAAGCUGUGCACUCAGUCAAAGGACAACCAUCCCCGAUAGAAGAGAAACAGUCUUCAGUCAAGGGUACACGAGUAGCUGCACUUCCCUUCUAGAACCUCCAAACAAGUUCUCAAGGUCCAAUAUGUAUAUGUUUUAAUAUGCUAGAUAUUAUGACUGAAUUGUUACAGUAUCUUUAUUCAUGUC